Molecule: ribosomal RNA, 425 nt
Filed under: uncultured bacterium
Lineage: Bacteria
Description: bacterial SSU rRNA
Rfam family: Bacterial small subunit ribosomal RNA
Source: RNAcentral
GGGGAAUAUUGCACAAUGGGCGCAAGCCUGAUGCAGCCAUGCCGCGUGUAUGAAGAAGGCCUUCGGGUUGUAAAGUACUUUCAGCGAGGAGGAAGGUGUUGAGGUUAAUAACCUUGUCGAUUGACGUUACCCGCAGAAGAAGCACCGGCUAACUCCGUGCCAGCAGCCGCGGUAAUACGGAGGGUGCAAGCGUUAAUCGGAAUUACUGGGCGUAAAGCGCACGCAGGCGGUCUGUCAAGUCGGAUGUGAAAUCCCCGGGCUCAACCUGGGAACUGCAUUCGAAACUGGCAGGCUAGAGUCUUGUAGAGGGGGGUAGAAUUCCAGGUGUAGCAGUGAAAUGCGUAGAGAUCUGGAGGAAUACCGGUGGCGAAGGCGGCCCCCUGGACAAAGACUGACGCUCAGGUGCGAAAGCGUGGGGAGCGAAC